GUCCACGCCCUAAACGAUGUCAACUAGGUGUUGGGGAAGGAGACUUCUUUAGUACCGCAGCUAACGCGAUAAGUUGACCGCCUGGGGGAGUACGGUCGCAAGAUUAAAAACUCAAAGGAAUUGACGGGGACCCGCACAAGCGGUGGAUUAUGUGGAUUAAUUCGAUGCAACGCGAAAAACCUUACCUACCCUUGACAUGUCAGAAAGAUCGUAGAGAUAUGAUUGUGCCCGAAAGGGAAUCUGAACACAGGUGCUGCAUGGCUGUCGU
RNAcentral lists this ribosomal RNA (268 nucleotides) under uncultured bacterium. RNAcentral's name for it is "partial 16S ribosomal RNA". It matches the Rfam family "Bacterial small subunit ribosomal RNA", at positions 793 to 1055 of the family's 1533-position model. The record is from RNAcentral.